RNAcentral lists this ribosomal RNA (303 nucleotides) under uncultured beta proteobacterium. RNAcentral's name for it is "bacterial SSU rRNA". It matches the Rfam family "Bacterial small subunit ribosomal RNA", at positions 376 to 671 of the family's 1533-position model. The record is from RNAcentral. Lineage: Bacteria; Pseudomonadati; Pseudomonadota; Betaproteobacteria.
CGAAAGCCUGAUCCAGCAAUGCCGCGUGUGGGAAGAAGGCCUUCGGGUUGUAAACCACUUUUGUACGGAACGAAACGGUUCGCUUUAAUACAGUGGGCUAAUGACGGUACCGUAAGAAUAAGCACCGGCUAACUACGUGCCAGCAGCCGCGGUAAUACGUAGGGUGCGAGCGUUAAUCGGAAUUACUGGGCGUAAAGCGUGCGCAGGCGGUUAUAUAAGACAGUUGUGAAAUCCCCGGGCUCAACCUGGGAAUUGCAUCUGUGACUGUAUAGCUAGAGUACGGUAGAGGGGGAUGGAAUUCCG